RNAcentral lists this ribosomal RNA (3947 nucleotides) under Saccharomyces cerevisiae (brewer's yeast). The stretch from base 993 to 3858 matches the Rfam family "Bacterial large subunit ribosomal RNA". Lineage: Eukaryota; Fungi; Ascomycota; Saccharomycetes; Saccharomycetales; Saccharomycetaceae. The record is from RNAcentral.
CCUCCCGUAUACUUACGGGAGGGGGUCCCUCACUCCUUUUGAGACUUUAAUUUUAUAAAUAUAAAUAUAAAUAUAAUAAGAUGUUAACUCUUUUAUAAAUAAAUAAUAAAUAUAAUUCUAUUUUUAAUAAUAAUAUAUAAUAUUUUUAUAAUAAAAUAUAUAAAUAAUAAUAUUUAUAUAUAUAUAUAUACUUUUUUUAUAUAAGAAUAAUAUAUAUAGUUCACAUUGGAGGCGAGUAAAAGGAGAUAAGAAAUAUAAUAUAAUAUAAUAAUAAAAAUAUAAUGAAUAAUAAUAAUAAAAAUUUAUAUAAUAACAAAAUAGUCCGGCCCGCCCCCCGCGGGGGGGGGCGGACCCCGAAGGAGUCGGAGUCCGACCGAAGGAGAUGAGAUUAUUAAUAUUAUUAAAUAAUAAAAUGUAUUAAUUAUAAAAUAUAAAACCUAUAAAUAAUUUAUAAUAUAAUUUAUAUUAUGAUAAUAAUAAUAUAUAUAUUAUAAUAUUUUAUAUAUAUAUUUAUUAUAUUUAUAUAAAAAAAGUGAUAUUGAUUAAUUUAAUUAAUUUAUAAUUAAUAAUUAUUAAUAUAGUCCGGCCGAAGGAGUGAGGGACCCCUCCCUAUACUAUACUAACGGGAGGGGGACCGAACCCCUUUUUAUCUUUAAUUAAGAAGGAGUUUAUUAUAUAUAUUAAAUAAGAUUUAUAAUAUAAUUAAUAUAUAUUUUAAUAAAUAUAAAAGAUUAUAUUAUAAAAAGUAUAUUUUAUAUUUAUAUUUAUAUAUAUAUUUUAUUUAUUAUUAUUAUAUAUAUAAGUAGUAAAAAGUAGAAUAAUAGAUUUGAAAUAUUUAUUAUAUAGAUUUAAAGAGAUAAUCAUGGAGUAUAAUAAUUAAAUUUAAUAAAUUUAAUAUAACUAUUAAUAGAAUUAGGUUACUAAUAAAUUAAUAACAAUUAAUUUUAAAACCUAAAGGUAAACCUUUAUAUUAAUAAUGUUUUUUUUUUUAUUAUUUUUAUAAUAAGAAUAAUUAUUAAUAAUAAUAAACUAAGUGAACUGAAACAUCUAAGUAACUUAAGGAUAAGAAAUCAACAGAGAUAUUAUGAGUAUUGGUGAGAGAAAAUAAUAAAGGUCUAAUAAGUAUUAUGUGAAAAAAAUGUAAGAAAAUAGGAUAACAAAUUCUAAGACUAAAUACUAUUAAUAAGUAUAGUAAGUACCGUAAGGGAAAGUAUGAAAAUGAUUAUUUUAUAAGCAAUCAUGAAUAUAUUAUAUUAUAUUAAUGAUGUACCUUUUGUAUAAUGGGUCAGCAAGUAAUUAAUAUUAGUAAAACAAUAAGUUAUAAAUAAAUAGAAUAAUAUAUAUAUAUAUAAAAAUAUAUUAAAAUAUUUAAUUAAUAUUAAUUGACCCGAAAGCAAACGAUCUAACUAUGAUAAGAUGGAUAAACGAUCGAACAGGUUGAUGUUGCAAUAUCAUCUGAUUAAUUGUGGUUAGUAGUGAAAGACAAAUCUGGUUUGCAGAUAGCUGGUUUUCUAUGAAAUAUAUGUAAGUAUAGCCUUUAUAAAUAAUAAUUAUUAUAUAAUAUUAUAUUAAUAUUAUAUAAAGAAUGGUACAGCAAUUAAUAUAUAUUAGGGAACUAUUAAAGUUUUAUUAAUAAUAUUAAAUCUCGAAAUAUUUAAUUAUAUAUAAUAAAGAGUCAGAUUAUGUGCGAUAAGGUAAAUAAUCUAAAGGGAAACAGCCCAGAUUAAGAUAUAAAGUUCCUAAUAAAUAAUAAGUGAAAUAAAUAUUAAAAUAUUAUAAUAUAAUCAGUUAAUGGGUUUGACAAUAACCAUUUUUUAAUGAACAUGUAACAAUGCACUGAUUUAUAAUAAAUAAAAAAAAAUAAUAUUUAAAAUCAAAUAUAUAUAUAUUUGUUAAUAGAUAAUAUACGGAUCUUAAUAAUAAGAAUUAUUUAAUUCCUAAUAUGGAAUAUUAUAUUUUUAUAAUAAAAAUAUAAAUACUGAAUAUCUAAAUAUUAUUAUUACUUUUUUUAAUAAUAAUAAUAUGGUAAUAGAACAUUUAAUGAUAAUAUAUAUUAGUUAUUAAUUAAUAUAUGUAUUAAUUAAAUAGAGAAUGCUGACAUGAGUAACGAAAAAAAGGUAUAAACCUUUUCACCUAAAACAUAAGGUUUAACUAUAAAAGUACGGCCCCUAAUUAAAUUAAUAAGAAUAUAAAUAUAUUUAAGAUGGGAUAAUCUAUAUUAAUAAAAAUUUAUCUUAAAAUAUAUAUAUUAUUAAUAAUUAUAUUAAUUAAUUAAUAAUAUAUAUAAUUAUAUUAUAUAUUAUAUAUUUUUUAUAUAAUAUAAACUAAUAAAGAUCAGGAAAUAAUUAAUGUAUACCGUAAUGUAGACCGACUCAGGUAUGUAAGUAGAGAAUAUGAAGGUGAAUUAGAUAAUUAAAGGGAAGGAACUCGGCAAAGAUAGCUCAUAAGUUAGUCAAUAAAGAGUAAUAAGAACAAAGUUGUACAACUGUUUACUAAAAACACCGCACUUUGCAGAAACGAUAAGUUUAAGUAUAAGGUGUGAACUCUGCUCCAUGCUUAAUAUAUAAAUAAAAUUAUUUAACGAUAAUUUAAUUAAAUUUAGGUAAAUAGCAGCCUUAUUAUGAGGGUUAUAAUGUAGCGAAAUUCCUUGGCCUAUAAUUGAGGUCCCGCAUGAAUGACGUAAUGAUACAACAACUGUCUCCCCUUUAAGCUAAGUGAAAUUGAAAUCGUAGUGAAGAUGCUAUGUACCUUCAGCAAGACGGAAAGACCCUAUGCAGCUUUACUGUAAUUAGAUAGAUCGAAUUAUUGUUUAUUAUAUUCAGCAUAUUAAGUAAUCCUAUUAUUAGGUAAUCGUUUAGAUAUUAAUGAGAUACUUAUUAUAAUAUAAUGAUAAUUCUAAUCUUAUAAAUAAUUAUUAUUAUUAUUAUUAAUAAUAAUAAUAAUAUGCUUUCAAGCAUAGUGAUAAAACAUAUUUAUAUGAUAAUCACUUUACUUAAUAGAUAUAAUUCUUAAGUAAUAUAUAAUAUAUAUUAUAUAUAUAUUAUAUAUAAUAUAAGAGACAAUCUCUAAUUGGUAGUUUUGAUGGGGCGUCAUUAUCAGCAAAAGUAUCUGAAUAAGUCCAUAAAUAAAUAUAUAAAAUUAUUGAAUAAAAAAAAAUAAUAUAUAUUAUAUAUAUUAAUUAUAAAUUGAAAUAUGUUUAUAUAAAUUUAUAUUUAUUGAAUAUAUUUUAGUAAUAGAUAAAAAUAUGUACAGUAAAAUUGUAAGGAAAACAAUAAUAACUUUCUUAAAUAAUUAUGGAAAGAAUUAAAUUAAUAUAAUGGUAUAACUGUGCGAUAAUUGUAACACAAACGAGUGAAACAAGUACGUAAGUAUGGCAUAAUGAACAAAUAACACUGAUUGUAAAGGUUAUUGAUAACGAAUAAAAGUUACGCUAGGGAUAACAGGGUAAUAUAACGAAAGAGUAGAUAUUGUAAGUUAUGUUUGCCACCUCGAUGUCGACUCAACAUUUCCUCUUGGUUGUAAAAGCUAAGAAGGGUUUGACUGUUCGUCAAUUAAAAUGUUACGUGAGUUGGGUUAAAUACGAUGUGAAUCAGUAUGGUUCCUAUCUGCUGAAGGAAAUAUUAUCAAAUUAAAUCUCAUUAUUAGUACGCAAGGACCAUAAUGAAUCAACCCAUGGUGUAUCUAUUGAUAAUAAUAUAAUAUAUUUAAUAAAAAUAAUACUUAUUAAUAUAUUAUCUAUAUUAGUUUAUAUUUUAAUUAUAUAUUAUCAUAGUAGAUAAGCUAAGUUGAUAAUAAAUAAAUAUUGAAUACAUAUUAAAUAUGAAGUUGUUUUAAUAAGAUAAUUAAUCUGAUAAUUUUAUACUAAAAUUAAUAAUUAUAGGUUUUAUAUAUUAUUUAUAAAUAAAUAUAUUAUAAUAAUAAUAAUUAUUAUUAUUAAUAAAAAAAUA